Molecule: long non-coding RNA, 431 nt
Organism: Oreochromis aureus
Lineage: Eukaryota; Metazoa; Chordata; Actinopteri; Cichliformes; Cichlidae
Source: Ensembl
GAAGAGCUCCCCCUCCCUCUCAAACACAGAGAUUGGCUUUGGUUAAGAGAACUUGUUCAGGAAGAAUAAAUUGAAACUUUUGAUGUGUUAAACAUGAAAGGCAACACGUUAUUUUUGCCCUGAAAUGGACCGUGUGGAGCGCGUUUUUAAAGGAACUGGAAUGAGAUGAUAACCUGCUGUGUGGGGAGCAUCAUGAAGCCCAGCAUCAAAGCAAAGGACGCAAACAAACUCAUCAGGAAGGCCCAGUCUGUUGUUGGCACGGAGCUCGAAACCCCAGAGGAGGCGAUCAGUGACAGAACGUGGACAAGACUGCUGCUUGCCUCGUUUUCCCUGGCCACCAAACAGCCUGAGGACCCCUUCCACGCUCAUCAGUUUGCCUUUCUGAGUUCGUCUCCCUCUGGAUAUCCAUCACCAGGUCCACCUGCGCCGCC